Molecule: non-coding RNA, 503 nt
Organism: Camellia sinensis
Lineage: Eukaryota; Viridiplantae; Streptophyta; Magnoliopsida; Ericales; Theaceae
Source: RefSeq, a predicted model, not a curated record
CAGCCACUACGGUUGCAUCAGAGGCGGCGUUUAGUGUAGGAGGUAGGGUGAUUGAUGAGACACGUGCUUCAUUACUUCCAGAUAUUGUGGAGGCCUUGAUCACUUGCAAUGAUUGGAUUGAAUCAACCAAAAAUAGAAGUUGAAUCAUUGGAAUCGACAAUUGAAGCUUUAAUGACUAAGAACUCACUGCAAUUAUCUUUUUUUUGACUCUGUUGACAACACAGCAUUGCUUUUGACAGUUUGUUAUCCAAUUACAGUGUCCUGUUUUUGAUCCAGCAAAUUUAGAAGAGGAGAAGAAUAUGCUGAAAAUAAACUAUUUACGUAAUCAACCUUGUCAGAUUGAGGCAUAGUCUGUUCUUCUUCACGGUUGUAUUCUGUGACAGUUAAUUCGGUUGUAUAGGUUGUGGUUUUGUCUAUUAUUGAGUCCUCUCAAUUACCUUGGAAAAUGCUGUAGUGAUGGUUCUUCUUGGGAAACCCUUCCUUUUCAUGACCUUUAAUUUCAA